This 519-nucleotide ribosomal RNA is filed under the name uncultured bacterium. RNAcentral describes it as "bacterial SSU rRNA". It matches the Rfam family "Bacterial small subunit ribosomal RNA", at positions 10 to 518 of the family's 1533-position model. The record is from RNAcentral.
AGUUGAUCAUGGCUCAGGAUGAACGCUAGCUACAGGCUUAACACAUGCAAGUCGAGGGGCAGCAUGAUCUAGCUUGCUAAGAUGAUGGCGACCGGCGCACGGGUGAGUAACGCGUAUCCAACCUUCCCUAUAGUAGGGGGAUAGCCCGUAGAAAUGCGGAUUAAUACCCUAUGUUGUAUUUAGAUGACAUCUGACGAAUACCAAAGGUUCACCGCUAUAGGAUGGGGAUGCGUCUGAUUAGGUAGUCGGCGGGGUAACGGCCCACCGAGCCAGCGAUCAGUAGGGGUUCUGAGAGGAAGGUCCCCCACAUUGGAACUGAGACACGGUCCAAACUCCUACGGGAGGCAGCAGUGAGGAAUAUUGGUCAAUGGGCGAGAGCCUGAACCAGCCAAGUAGCCGUGCAGGAUGACGGCCCUAUGGGUUGUAAACUGUCUUUUAUGCGGGGAUAAAGUGGGGGACGUGUCCCCCUUUGUAGGUACCGCAUGAAUAAGGACCGGCUAAUUCCGUGCCAGCCGCAGC